RNAcentral lists this long non-coding RNA (957 nucleotides) under Anas platyrhynchos platyrhynchos (common mallard). RNAcentral's name for it is "lncRNA (ENSAPLG00000019157.1)". Lineage: Eukaryota; Metazoa; Chordata; Aves; Anseriformes; Anatidae. The record is from RNAcentral.
GGCCACCAUCAGUUUCUUUACAACUAUUAAAGCAGCAGUGGGGUUGUGCUUGCUUAUUUCAGAGCUUGGUGCUGCUAAGGGGGUUACCUACAGGUGAAAGUCGUUUUCUUUACAAAGUUCUCACUUCCAGAGCAUGAGAGUUGAAAUACUGUGGUAUCAGCUCAAGUGGUGUUUCACAGUCUUUACGGUCAUGCAGGCUGGUGUUUCUCUCCUCUGAUUUCUUUAAUAUGGGAAAUGUUAGCUGUGAAGUCCUAAUCAACUAAUUGCUUCGGUCUUGCUAAUUGCACUCAGCCUGAUCUACAAAAGGAAGAGUCAUUGGACUGUUUUCAGUGUUUCCUCUGGACAGGUUGGACCUACAGUGAAAAUAGGUGGGUGCACGUUUAGUUUGAUGAUCCCAGAGAAGUGUAGCCAUAAAACAGCCAUCAGACUGCUCAACUCCAUGAAGACAGAAUCAGUUCUAGAUCCAGCACAAAAAGUACAAAUUUAAUCACACAGAAAACAAAACUAAGCACUGCUGGUGCGCUGCUACUGCAAUCUGCUCUGUAGGAAGCUGCAGAGGGAGGGAGGAGUGUCUGGCAGAGUGUUUACAUGGGUGGUACAAGCAGAAACUGCAUCAGCAAAGCCCUGUGGCUGGGAGGUACAGAGGAGAAUUGCAGGCUGUGACCAAGUUCAACCUGAUGGUAUAUGGCAGUUUUCACCCCCUACAUCUUCAAAAUAUUUGCAGACAUGAGUUACGAAACUUCACAAUGCCACAGAGUUUUCUAAAGACAGGAGAGUAGUAAGAGAAGAAAAAAACUUUACUGAUUCUCCUCAAAACUGUGGAAGAAGGAAAGUAAACAUUCAAUUAAGGAGAUUCACUACAUUUAUGUCACGCAGUCUCCUUUACUAAAUAUUAUCCCUUAUAUUUUGUGCAAUUAGCCAACUCAGUUUCCUCAAAUAAAUGCAACGUUAAGAACA